UAGGGAAUAUUGGUCAAUGGGGGCAACCCUGAACCAGCCAUGCCGCGUGCAGGAAGACGGCCUUCUGGGUUGUAAACUGCUUUUGACAGGGAAGAAAGUGAACCAUGCGUGGUUUUUUGACGGUACCUGUAGAAUAAGCACCGGCUAACUCCGUGCCAGCAGCCGCGGUAAUACGGAGGGUGCAAGCGUUGUCCGGAUUUAUUGGGUUUAAAGGGUGCGUAGGCGGACCAAUAAGUCAGUGGUGAAAUACUUCGGCUCAACCGGAGAGGUGCCAUUGAUACUGUUGGUCUUGAGUGAACUCGAAGUAGGCGGAAUUGAUGGUGUAGCGGUGAAAUGCAUAGAUAUCAUCAAGAACACCGAUAGCGAAGGCAGCUUACUUGGUUUCAACUGACGCUGAUGCACGAAAGCGUGGGGAGCGAACAGGAUUAGAUACCCCCGUAGUCC
This 444-nucleotide ribosomal RNA is filed under the name uncultured prokaryote. Its description in RNAcentral is "bacterial SSU rRNA". It matches the Rfam family "Bacterial small subunit ribosomal RNA", at positions 355 to 796 of the family's 1533-position model. The record is from RNAcentral.